CCUACGGGAGGCUGCAGUGGGGAAUAUUGCGCAAUGGGCGAAAGCCUGACGCAGCGACGCCGCGUGAGGGAUGAAGGUCUUCGGAUCGUAAACCUCUGUUAGCAGGGAAGAACGGUCACUGUGCUAAUCAUCAGUGAAUUGACGGUACCUGCAAAGGAAGCACCGGCUAACUCCGUGCCAGCAGCCGCGGUAAUACGGAGGGUGCGAGCGUUAAUCGGAAUUACUGGGCGGAAAGCGCUCGUAGGCGGUAUGUGAAGUCAAGGGUGAAAUCCCGGGGCUCAACUCCGGCACUGCCUCUGAUACUGGCGGGCUAGAGUUUAGUUGCGGUAGGCGGAAUGUAUGGUGUAGCGGUGAAAUGCAUAGAGAUCAUACAGAACACCGAUUGCGAAGGCAGCUUACCAAAGUACGACUGACGUUGAGGCACGAAAGCGUGGGGAGCAAACAGGAUUAGAUACCCGAGUAGUC
RNAcentral lists this ribosomal RNA (465 nucleotides) under uncultured bacterium. RNAcentral's name for it is "partial 16S ribosomal RNA". It matches the Rfam family "Bacterial small subunit ribosomal RNA", at positions 338 to 795 of the family's 1533-position model. The record is from RNAcentral.